Molecule: ribosomal RNA, 288 nt
Filed under: Salmonella enterica subsp. enterica serovar Anatum
Lineage: Bacteria; Pseudomonadati; Pseudomonadota; Gammaproteobacteria; Enterobacterales; Enterobacteriaceae
Also listed under: 1 other name
Description: partial 23S ribosomal RNA
Rfam family: Bacterial large subunit ribosomal RNA
Source: RNAcentral
AAGGCGAGGCCGAAAGGCGUAGUCGAUGGGAAACAGGUUAAUAUUCCUGUACUUGGUGUUACUGCGAAGGGGGGACGGAGAAGGCUAUGUUGGCCGGGCGACGGUUGUCCCGGUUUAAGCGUGUAGGUGUGUGUUCCAGGUAAAUCCGGUUCACUUUAACACUGAGGCGUGAUGACGAGGCACUACGGUGCUGAAGCAACAAAUGCCCUGCUUCCAGGAAAAGCCUCUAAGCAUCAGGUAACAUCAAAUCGUACCCCAAACCGACACAGGUGGUCAGGUAGAGAAUAC